Molecule: ribosomal RNA, 454 nt
Filed under: uncultured Paludibacter sp.
Lineage: Bacteria; Pseudomonadati; Bacteroidota; Bacteroidia; Bacteroidales; Paludibacteraceae
Description: partial 16S ribosomal RNA
Rfam family: Bacterial small subunit ribosomal RNA
Source: RNAcentral
ACGGGAGGCAGCAGUGAGGAAUAUUGGACAAUGGUCGGAAGACUGAUCCAGCCAUGCCGCGUGAAGGAAGAAUGUCCUAUGGAUUGUAAACUUCUUUUGUACGGGAGCAAUAAGGUGUAUGCAUACACCGAUGAGAGUACCGUACGAAUAAGCAUCGGCUAACUCCGUGCCAGCAGCCGCGGUAAUACGGAGGAUGCGAGCGUUAUCCGGAUUUAUUGGGUUUAAAGGGUGCGUAGGCGGACUGUUAAGUCAGCGGUGAAAUACCACGGCUCAACCGUGGGGCUGCCGUUGAUACUGGCGGUCUGGAGUACGAUCGGCGCCGGCGGAAUGUGUCAUGUAGCGGUGAAAUGCAUAGAUAUGACACAGAACACCGAUCGCGAAGGCAGCUGGCGAGAACGAUACUGACGCUGAGGCACGAAGGUGCGGGGAUCAAACAGGAUUAGAUACCCUGGUA